Non-coding RNA from Podarcis lilfordi (Lilford's wall lizard), 80 nucleotides. Lineage: Eukaryota; Metazoa; Chordata; Lepidosauria; Squamata; Lacertidae. The record is from the annotation of a GenBank genome assembly.
GGAAAGGGCAGUAGCUCACUGGGAGAGCAUCUGCUUUGCAUGCAGAAGGUCCCAGAUUCAAUCCCUGUCUAACUCUUCCU